UGGUGGGUAGUUUGACUGGGGCGGUCUCCUCCUAAAGAGUAACGGAGGAGCACGAAGGUUGGCUAAUCCUGGUCGGACAUCAGGAGGUUAGUGCAAUGGCAUAAGCCAGCUUGACUGCGAGCGUGACGGCGCGAGCAGGUGCGAAAGCAGGUCAUAGUGAUCCGGUGGUUCUGAAUGGAAGGGCCAUCGCUCAACGGAUAAAAGGUACUCCGGGGAUAACAGGCUGAUACCGCCCAAGAGUUCAUAUCGACGGCGGUGUUUGGCACCUCGAUGUCGGCUCAUCACAUCCUGGGGCUGAAGUAGGUCCCAAGGGUAUGGCUGUUCGCCAUUUAAAGUGGUACGCGAGCUGGGUUUAGAACGUCGUGAGACAGUUCGGUCCCUAUCUGCCGUGGGCGCUGGAGAACUGAGGGGGGCUGCUCCUAGUACGAGAGGACCGGAGUGGACGCAUCACUGGUGUUCGGGUUGUCAUGCCAAUGGCACUGCCCGGUAGCUAAAUGCGGAAGAGAUAAGUGCUGAAAGCAUCUAAGCACGAAACUUGCCCCGAGAUGAGUUCUCCCUGAGACUUAGAGUCUCCUGAAGGAACGUUGAAGACGACGACGUUGAUAGGCCGGGUGUGUAAGUGCAGCGAUGCGUUGAGCUAACCGGUACUAAUGAACCGUGAGGCUUAACCUUACAACGCCGAAG
RNAcentral lists this ribosomal RNA (684 nucleotides) under Salmonella enterica. RNAcentral describes it as "partial 23S ribosomal RNA". It matches the Rfam family "Bacterial large subunit ribosomal RNA", at positions 2259 to 2925 of the family's 2925-position model. Lineage: Bacteria; Pseudomonadati; Pseudomonadota; Gammaproteobacteria; Enterobacterales; Enterobacteriaceae. The record is from RNAcentral.